Long non-coding RNA from Oncorhynchus tshawytscha (Chinook salmon), 5238 nucleotides. The record is from Ensembl. NCBI's taxonomy places the organism in Eukaryota, Metazoa, Chordata, Actinopteri, Salmoniformes, Salmonidae.
GGUCUAUUCAUUUAUUUAUUUAAUACAUAUUCUCAAUAGUUCACUAUCUGUCCAUUGUUUUCUAAGCCAUACACACAUUUGUCCCAGGACAAUUUUGGCAAUACAGAGAAAAAAGAUAGAGAGAAUGAGCAAUUGGGUUAUUUGAGGUUCAUUGAAGGCUACAUGACAAAUGCAAGGGACAUUUCAUAUAAAAAGCACACAGGUUUUAUUGCAUAUCAAUUUCAUGUAUAAAUUCUUCAUAACAUUGGAAAGAUUACAUUUGGUAUACAUUUCUAUCAUCAGAAUCAUAUCAUUUCAAUAACAUUUCUUCAAUAAUCACAAGCAUUAAAAAAACUGCAAUUUCAGAAUUGAUCCAUGUUAUUCUACAAUCCUUUCAUUUUUUUUAUUACAUCUCUCUGCCACAAGCUUUUUUAUAGUCAUUUAAGAACCACCUGCACAAUACAUUUGUAUUGUAUUGAUUUGAAGUCAAACCUACUAACCCAACCACGUACAAUAAGUGCAUCUACAGAUUCAUUUCUUUUUAAAAUUUCACUUUUAAAUUUAAGAUGCACAUUUCACAAAUGGACAUCAUUAUGACUGCUAAACACAUCAUGCACAAUAUAUAUUUUUUAUAAACAUUAACAGAGGUGAUACAACUCAGAUUCAAAUGAAACGAGCACCAUCCAUUUAACCCAUUUCUUUUCAUUGAAUGUUUUGGACAUAAUGCAACAUUGUUUGUGAAAAUACUAUACCCUGGUUAGCUGAAAACAUAAUGAAAACGAUGAGCGCGCUUCAAUGGGGCAGACGUCUUGUGUGUUGUGAUUCUGGAUGGCCACAUAGCUAGCUAGCAACAAUGACAAGAAGCUGACAUGUGAAUCGUGGGUAACUCGUUUCAGCUAGUUUUACCUUGUUCUUGAUACCAUGUCUUUGUUUUGAGGUGUUUUGAUUGAUGACACUUCUAUGUUAAUAUGGCAAAAAAAAUGCUAGCUAGCUAAGCAACAACUGUAACUAUGUAUUUGAGAGACAACAAUGUGAUCUUUGACUUCAAUGUGGAUCCAUAACAGCGCACACUUAUUACAGUAGUACAUUUCCACAAACUUCAAAGUGUUUCCUUUCAAAUAGUACCAAGAAUAUGCAUAUCCUUGCUUCAGGUCCUGAGCAACAGGCAGUUAGAUUUGGGUAUGUUAUUUUAGGAAAACAUUUUUAAAAAGGGGCGGAUCCUUAAGAGGAUUUAUGCAGCAAAACUAGUAUCACCCUGCCACCUGCUGACAAAAGAAAUGAUUACAGUGCUUCAAUUAGAUGUAGAUUUUUUUUCCCAAGGUCAUCAUUAUUUUAAGUGAGGCCAGUCAGGUUUACUCCUCACAGUACAGUAAAUGUGUUAUGCUGGGUGUUAAAACCCCUUACAGACAAUAAAUACAUCUCAGACACAGCUGAAGUAAGGGGUGAAUUAUCAAGCUAUUUUUUCAUUUUUUAUUUAACUAGGCAAGUCACUAGAGUCAAUACAACUUACAGAACCAUUUGACCCUGAGAGUAAAGCUACUUCAAGUAAGGUGGGUUAGCCUCGUGGUUAGAGUGUUGGACUAGUAACUGGAAGGUUGCAAGUUCAAACCCCUGAGCUGACAAGGUACAAAUCUGUUGUUCUGCCCCUGAACAGGCAGUUAACCCACUGUUCCUAGGCCAGCAUUGAAAAUAAGAAUUUGUUCUUAACUGACUUGCCUGGUUAAAUAAAGGUAAAAAAAAAAAGUCAGUGCUAUCCGGGAUCCUUACCUUAGCCAUUUUACAUUUCAAUGGGGUCCCAAGGAUUCCGGAUAGCACAGACCCUUCAACUAAAGAGUGGAAAUAUGAUGGCAUGGUACACUGUAGUUGGACACUAUCUGACAAACAACGUCUAUUUCAUCUAUGAUGGGGCUGAGAUGUUCUUUUCUACAACCACAUGGUCACAUUUAAAAAUAAGAAUUCCUACAAAAUGGAAACCAUUCACGCAGAAUCGGAGCACUGAUAAACUGGUUAAGUUAACAUGUUGAUGGGAUUUAUUGUAGAGUAAAAGUGAUUUGCUCAAACUUAGGAUAAAUUACAAGCUAACAAUACAAUGCCCUGGCAUCCAAAUCACCUGACAAUCAUAGUAAAGGCUGCAAUUUCCAAAAUAGCCAAUGUAAGAAUUCAACCACCUUGAACACAAAACACUCAGCAUACUGGUUGCAUUUGUUCAACUGAAGCGAGAAUCAUCAAACCACACGAUAGACACAACAUUGCAAACAUGAUCUAAAUCAGUGGUUCCCAACCUUUUCCAGUUAUUGUACCACCAACUGAAUUUUGCUCUGCCCGUAGUACCCCUGAAGUACCCCUUCAUGUGCAUUUUACCAGUAGGCCCAUAGUCUCCUCAAGUACCCCCUGUGGAUAGACCAAGUACCCCACAGGGGUUCUAGUACCCCUGGUUGGGAACCACUGAUCUAAACAACCUAGAACUACCAUGUCACUAUAAAUAAAAGCAUCCGAUUGGCACACUGGUCUUUACACAAAAAAGCAUUGAAACCGAGACUCACAAUCUCACUUGCGUUUCGAUUCAAUUUCAUUCCUUCAGCAACAAGUAAAAGAGAGAGAGAAAAAAAACACUUUUUCAGUUGUCACUUGUCUCCAAUCGUGACCCCAAAAUGUUUACCCAAAUAAAUAGAAUCCACCCAGUCUUUAAAUGAAAUAUAGAAGAAAGUAAUCACAUCAUCUUUGACAGCUAUGAAAACCCUUGGAAAAGAAAUGCUUGUCAGGGAACAAAUCCUUUUCUACGGGUUAUUUGGCACAUACCACUCUUGCCAUGAACGUCCAGGUUAUUUUGUACAUCAUACAACAAUAUCACACAAUUUUGGCCCUUCACUAUUUAUAUAUUUAUAUUAACAUUUGAGCACGGAGGUGCCUAAAAAGAGACAAUACUGUUUAUCAAAAAGCAAAACACAAAAUGGAAUCAAGUUAACAAAUGAGCAAAAGAGGGGAAAAUACAUUAUCCCCUACUCUAACCAAUGGUUGUCAAUGUAAAAUCUCUUGCUCACCAGGCGAGACUUUGUCCUCUGUAAUGCACAUUAUAUGUUGGGGGUGGGUCAACCUCCAUGAUAUCAUCGUCCUGUACUUUCUUUAUAAACCAGAGUGCCGUUUCCUGCUGUAACACUCAGCAUUGUGGUAUUACUGAUUUCAAACAGGAAUGGAGAGUGUGAAGUCAUUUGAUAAGAUGAGGAGGAUGGGGGGAGUUCUUUGGGUGAAUGAGCUAGUACUCCCCCAUUAUGUGUUGAUACUUUUGCUCCUCCCACCGAGUGAGAAGAGCGCCCCCCUAUGGACAUGCAAUGCACAUAUUCCAGACCUACUGUCACUGUAUAUGAAGCUAUUGAGAAAUUGCUGUUGUAGACUGUGUCUAGAUAAACGUUUUGCUCCCCUAGUAAUGCAGUGGCAUACUGAAACGUGACUGUCUCUGAGAGUUCAACUAGAGGGCUUCGCUGGAAUGGAGUGGGGUGGUCCUUCCUGGGACGUCCUUCACCCCUCUACACGGGUGGAGCAGUGCUACUUUGAUCUCUGCCUGUGAGUGUCUAUCUUAGAGGCCCCCCCGUACACACUCACACACACACAGAAGGGCAGGAGCCACAAAUCCUCUCUCUUCUCAGGCCAGGACUAUGUGUUGUUGAGUUCUCCUCCGCAGUAGGCUUCAUCCCUCCUCCUAACUCUCUUAGAUGUGUCUGAGUGGGUAAAAACUGCUCGUCUCGGACGGCCCCCCUCCCAUGCUCAGCCAGGCAUCCAGUGAGUUCUGGGAGGAUGCGUGCAAAGGGUUGUUCUCCGACAGAGAAAGCAUCAUUACAUAAGCCUGGAGGAGACAGAGAAACAACAAAAAGACACCACCGUUGUUCAGAAACCACUUUGUGAGUCUCCGAGUUAAUUGUUAGCCAAUCAAACGUGGGUGUCAUUAUUGUCAAUAAAACCCAAGAGCUGUUCCGUCUCGGAUUAGGAGCAUCACUUUAACCAUUGCAACAUGUCUUGGCAUGCAAGAGGUCAAAGGUGAGAGAGCACUGUGAUGCUGCUGCUUGGAGAGUAGUUAGAUGAGAGGUUUAGAAAAGAGGGAGAGAGUUAAUAGCUCAGUUAGUAGGUAAGCUAGGAGAGGGGAGAGCAUGUCAAUGAGAAUAAAUACUUGUUGUUAUUCACGGACUUUCAUCCCGACACUCCAUAAAGCCACAUUGAACAACCUGGCAUCGUGUUUUGGCCUGGUUGUCAUGCAUUUUCCUCAUUGUCUUUUUGUAUUUCCCCUUACCGAACUCAAGCCUUUGGAAGGACGUUCAAAAUUAUUUGCCACUUGCUGUCUCCAUCCUGGUAGCCCAGUGGUUAGCCGAUCAACAGUAAUCGGUUACUGUUGGACUAGUAACCGAAAGAUUGCUGGAUUCAAUCCCCGAGCUGACAAUGUAAAAAUCUGUCGUUCUGCCCCUGAGCAAGGCAGUUAACCCACUGUUCCCCGGGCGCCGAAGAUGUGGAUGUCGAUUAAGGCAGCCACCCAUACCUCUCUGAUGCAGAGGUGGGUAGGCCCUCCAGGUCUAAUAGCCCACCAUCCUCCUCUAUACACCAUUGUUGGCCUUCUGCAGGUCCAGACCGUUGGGGAGGCAGGGUAGGCCCUCCAGGUCUAAUAGCCCACCAUCCUCCUCUAUACACCAUUGUAGGCCUUAUGCAGGCCCAGACCGUUGGGAAGCAGGGUAGGCCCUCCAGGUCUAACAUUCCACCAUCCUCCUCUAUACACCAUUGUUGGCCUUAUGCAGGUCCAGACCGUUGGGGAAGCUGGGUAGGCCCUCCAGGUCUAAUAGCCUACCAUCCUCCUCUGUACACCCGCAGCAGCACCGGGGGAAGGGGAGGGGAAGAGCAGGGAGGAAGGAUAAAGGGGAGGGGUAAGCUGAGAGGAGAGGGGAUGAUGGAGUAAGUAAAUAGAGAAGACGGGGGAGGGAGGGAUAAAGAUAGGGACGGGGUAAGGAGAGGUUGUGGAGGAGGAAGGGGAAGGUGCAGUGAGGGAGGGGGGGGUUGUCCUCAGUUAGCCUAACCAAUACUAUCUUGUAACUCGAUGGAUGGACUUUUGAUGGUGCAUGCAUGAGGGACAGAUGGAUGGACGGAUGGAUGGAGACGGACGAAUGGGAUAGAUGGUAUGGAUUUGUUGUCUGAAAACAGUUCACACUACUACCGCUGAAAACCAACUUGACUGAAACCCCACUAGAGAACCUGCAAAGGGCAUGAUUGUUUUCCUCGUCG